UACGAAGGGUGCAAGCGUUACUCGGAAUUACUGGGCGUAAAGCGUGCGCAGGCGGUUUGCUAAGACCGAUGUGAAAUCCCCGGGCUCAACCUGGGAACUGCAUUGGUGACUGGCAGGCUAGAGUAUGGCAGAGGGGGGUAGAAUUCCACGUGUAGCAGUGAAAUGCGUAGAGAUGUGGAGGAAUACCGAUGGCGAAGGCAGCCCCCUGGGCCAAUACUGACGCUCAUGCACGAAAGCGUGGGGAGCAAACAGG
This 253-nucleotide ribosomal RNA is filed under the name uncultured bacterium. RNAcentral describes it as "partial 16S ribosomal RNA". It matches the Rfam family "Bacterial small subunit ribosomal RNA", at positions 524 to 776 of the family's 1533-position model. The record is from RNAcentral.